Molecule: ribosomal RNA, 2715 nt
Filed under: Triticum aestivum (bread wheat)
Lineage: Eukaryota; Viridiplantae; Streptophyta; Magnoliopsida; Poales; Poaceae
Description: partial small subunit ribosomal RNA
Source: RNAcentral
AUGCCGGCGACGGAGGAGGAAGGCGCGGCGGCGGCGGCGGCGGCGGGGGCGUACGAGCAGGAGGACGGGGACGGGGAGGAGUACGACGAGGAUGAGGAGGAGGGGUACGAGUUCGGCGACGCGGCGGACGCGGCGCAGUGCGUGGAGAUGGCGGAGCGGGGGCCCGGCGGCGCCGUGGCCACCGUCAGCAUCCGCGACUUCGAGGCCCUGGCGGCGCUGUCGCGCAAGCGGAAGGCCCUCCCCGAGGAGCCGCCGCAGGGGGACGAGCCCUCCAAGAAGCGGAGGCAGCAGGGCGAGCUCUCCGAGGCGGAGUCGGCGAACCUCUUCGACCAGCUGAUGGAGGGGUUCGGCCUCCGGCGGAAGAAGCGGCGGCGGUCCAAGGACGGCAAGAGGAAGGGGCGGGCGAGAGGGCGGAGGAACCGGUGCAGCCCCGAGGUCAUCAAGAAGCUGGGCGACGCCACCCUGCUCUUCACCGAGAACAGGUUCAAGGAGGCCAUCCCCAUCCUGCACGAGAUCGUGCGGAUCGCGCCCAACCUGCCCAACUCGUACAACCUGCUCGGCAGCAUCUACAAGGAGAAUGGCGAGAUCGACAAGGCUAUCAACUUCGUGAUGCUGGCCGCCUACGUCUCGCCCAAGGACGUGUCGCUGUGGAAGAAGCUCAUCGACCUGGCCCUGAAGAAGGAGGAUGCUGCUCUGGCAAGGCACUGUGUUAUCAAGGCAAUGAGGGCUGAUCCGGAGGAUGUGGGGCUCAAGUUUGAUUGCGCCAACAUAUAUCGCACCCUUGGUGACUGCCACAAGGCCGCGGAGAUAUACGAGCAGAUAGUCGGGAUCCAUCCCUCCAACACCGUCGCUCGUAAAGCGGCGGCGCAGAUGUACAGAGACUCUGGUCAAAUUGAUAAGGCGAUUGAUUUGUUGGAGGAUUUUAUCAAUGCUCAAACUUCAAACAUCGAUUGGGGUCUUCUUGAUUUACUGAUAUCCCUUCAUCUGAGAAAUGAUGCCCAUGGUGAAGCCCUUAGGCAGAUCAAGAAGGCACAACUGGUGUUGGGAUCUGGACACAAAUUACCAGUACGAUUGCAGGCGAAGGCAGUAAUCUGCCAUGCUUAUCUUGGAGAUAUGAAACAUGCUGAGGUGUUCCUUCAGGAUGUGCAUCUGGGGCGUUCAAAAGAGAAUGCUGAUAUGGUUAAGGAGGUCGCCAGCACUCUUCAAAGUUUGGGGCAGUAUGAGUAUGCACUAAAAUUUUACUCGGUUAUGGAAGACGUUGCUGUUCACAAUGAUGUUAGUUCAUAUGUGGAAGCUGCUCGAUGCUACAUGGUAAUGGGGGACAAAGGAAAAGCUAUCCCUUACCUCUAUCAAGCUUUAGAAGGGAUGGAGGACAAUGUCGAUGUACGGAUAACCUUAUCUUCUCUUCUCGUUGACGAGGAUAAGAGUGAUAAAGCUAUCACUGUGCUUUCUCCUCCUGAAAAUCCAGAGUUGCAGUCCGCUGAUAUCCCGGAUCAUCAGAAACCUUGGUGGCUUCAUGGGGAAGUAAAGAUGCAGCUUGCCAAACUUUAUUACAACAAAGGCAUGAUGGAGAAAUUUGUGAAAACCAUUUUUCUUCCCAUUCUUGAGACACUGGAUAUCGAGUAUGCUAAUAGAAAGGUCAAGAUGAAUAGAAAGCUUACAAAUGAUGUUCUGCAGGAAAGAACGAAAGUGCUGGGGGAAGCGCGUCAAGACAGCGUAUUUCAAGGAUGCAGGCCUAUAGCAUCAACUGCAGAGUUAGUGAAGGCAAACAGAGCAAAGAAAUUGCUAGAGAGAAGGGCAGCAGAGUCAAAUGAAGAUACGAUAAGAGAUGAUACACGGAGAGCAAAGCAGAAACCUCCUCUUCCUGGUCUGCUGACAAAUGUGGAGAACCAUCAGCUUGUGUUAGAUCUCUGUCGAACACUGACUUUGCUUCAGCGAUACUUUGAGGCGCUGCAAAUUAUCAAUCAUGCUCUUAAACUUGGAAAUGACCCCCUCUCUGAUGACAUCAAGGAGGAACUCCGGUCCUUGGGCGCUGAAAUUGCAUACAGAGCUCCAGAUCCCAGUCCUGGUUUUGAUUAUGUCCGUUAUGUAGUUCACAAGCACCCGCAAUCCAUCUCCGCAUGGAACUCCUACUACAAAGUGACAUCAAGAGCAGAAGAGAAAGGUCAUUUUAAGUUUCUUCUUCGGGCAAGAAGGGAUCCCAAGUGUGUGCCCCCUAAAAUCAUAUCUGGGCAUCGAUUUACUGCUAUCAGUCAACACCAGUCCGCUGUUCGGGAUUAUCUGGAAGCGUACAAGCUGGACUCGGAGAAUCCUCUAAUCAAUCUCUGCGUUGGUUCGUCCUUGAUCAACCUCUCCCUGGGCUUCAGGCUUCAGAACAAGAACCAGUGCAUCGUCCAGGCGUUUGCGUUCCUCUACAAGUGCCUGCGCAUCGGCAGCAACAGGCAGGAGGCCCUGUACAACAUAGCCCGGGCUUACCACCAUGUCGGGCUCAAAACCCUGGCGGCCAUCUACUACGAGAAGGUUUUAGCCAUGGAGGUGGAAGAUCACCCCAUACCCAAGCUUCCAUUCGAGGAGGAUUUCCAUGAGCACCAGGCUCUUAGGCCUGGCUACUGCGACCUCCGGAGAGAGGCUGCGUUCAAUCUGCAUCUGAUCUACAAGGAAAGCGGAGCAACUGAUCUGGCAAGAAGGAUCCUCAAGACCUACUGUUCUAUUUAG